GGCUGGUAGUUUUGUGCUUGACAUGAAUUGAUUUUUUUCAACAGACAAUUAAACAAUGCUCGUAUCACCUGUGCUAUGAAGUAAAUGAGGCUACAACUUUAAUCACUUUAAUCAUGAAUUCCAAAUUGGAAAGGUAAAAGAAAUCACAACACGAAUAAAAUUCCAGUUAUAUAUUUCUCAUGCCCUUGAUGUUUGAAUCUUGUUGACAGCCUUUUUUUUUUUUUUUACAAUUCAGCAGCUACUUGGAGAUUGGAGGCUCCUCCAACCACUUGGCACGAAAGCCUGUUCCUUUACAAUUAGAGCAGCGCAUUGAACCCUUCCCAGCACAAAUGACACAAGUAGUGUUUCUGGAGGGGACUUGACAGAGCAUAUUAUCACCAAGAAUGAAGAAGCCUGUACCUGCACACCAUUUGCAUUCAACAUGCCCAUUUGAGCUGCAAGAAGUGCACGCAACUGGUCUUGGUUGCUGUGAAAUUAACCAAGCUUGCUCCAUGCGCUUAGCGAAAUUAGAGGAACUCUCAUAUGAAUCCACCAUUGAAGCCCUAACCGGAAAAACCCUAGAAGUGGCGAUGGCGGCGGUUAUCGCAGAAGGUAAAACCCCCAAAUUGAUUGGCAGCCUCUCG
This 623-nucleotide unclassified non-coding RNA is filed under the name Hevea brasiliensis (rubber tree). Lineage: Eukaryota; Viridiplantae; Streptophyta; Magnoliopsida; Malpighiales; Euphorbiaceae. The record is from RNAcentral.